This is a non-coding RNA of Drosophila suzukii, 345 nucleotides long. The record is from RefSeq and is a predicted model, not a curated record. NCBI's taxonomy places the organism in Eukaryota, Metazoa, Arthropoda, Insecta, Diptera, Drosophilidae.
CUUGAGUAUUUCGGAGCGCUAACGAUAUCACAAUGCAAUUGUUUGGCGGACUGUGUGUAAUCAGCGGACGCGACCGUGAAUAAAUGUUGUCCAAAAGCCAUUGGCAACAGAUCCCGAGCAGCGGCGAACGGAAGUUGGCGAAACGAUUCGAAACGAACACCGGGCGAAACCUCUAAAAUGUUUUCAUAUGCAGGCUAAUUAUGUGGCUGCUGUCGUGUUUGAACUUUUGCAGCAGCUGGAACGGAAGAGCCACCGGGAGUGGGAACCCAUCCGAGUGGGUGGGCGGUAUGGAAAUGGUAACGGACUAUGGAGAAUGGAGAAUGGAGAACGGAGAUUGGCGGGCGC